GGUUUUGUAAAAUUAAUCAAAAAUGCUGGUGGUGGCUGGCAACUUAAAAAAAAAAAAAAAAAACGCUGGAGAGGAAAGAGUUAAUAAUUUGCUUUGUCUUCAGUACAGUGAUGAUAUAAAACCCAGAUAUUUGUUUAGAAAACAACAUAUUUUUUUUAAUACCACAGUCAAUCGUUUUCCUAUAAAUUGAUCUUACAUGAAAAUAUACAGUAUUCUUUUGAUUUCAGCACGGAGAUCAUCACAUUUGGGCAGCACCACUCCUGUACUGUGCAGCAGAGGAAGCAGGAAGCAGAAGAAACCGAAUGAAGGAAUGGAACUGGAAGUUCCUCAGAUCCCAUGUCUUCUUCUCUUUUCCCAGGAUGCACUGUUCUCAGAACAGCCAGGAAGAGUCUUUCAUCUGUGUAGCCUGACCUCAGGGGAACGGUGACCGGCAUACGCCUGCUUCCACUCUAACACACGGAUAUGAGCGGGAAGAAAGGAUUUCUCACGAGACCUUUAGAAACCUGCCCCUCCACCACCCCCAUCCCUCCCUGAACCUCGUCUGAUCCAGAAGACUGCAGGAUUAUCGCUCAAGUUUCAGUUCAGGAUAGAGACCGAGAGCUUUCAGAGCGCCGACCGCUUGGCAGACGUGCAUCCUGUGCUGCAUGCAAAAAAAUUAAAUAAAAG
Molecule: long non-coding RNA, 666 nt
Organism: Cyprinus carpio carpio
Lineage: Eukaryota; Metazoa; Chordata; Actinopteri; Cypriniformes; Cyprinidae
Source: Ensembl